ACUCAUACUUUGCAAGGAAAAUACCAUGUCAUAAAAGUGGUUUUCCUAGGGGGAAGGUUUGUCCAUUACACUUUGGGUGUGCUGCUGGUCCCUGUGAUUUCCUCAAAUGUGUGGAACUCAACUGCAUAAUUUGUGUUAAUGGGGGCAUUAUGUUUGUGAUUUCCCUG
This 167-nucleotide small nuclear RNA is filed under the name Pogona vitticeps (central bearded dragon). RNAcentral's name for it is "U1 spliceosomal RNA (ENSPVIG00000006116.1)". It matches the Rfam family "U1 spliceosomal RNA". Rfam says of the family: U1 is a small nuclear RNA (snRNA) component of the spliceosome (involved in pre-mRNA splicing). Its 5' end forms complementary base pairs with the 5' splice junction, thus defining the 5' donor site of an intron. There are significant differences in sequence and secondary structure between metazoan and yeast U1 snRNAs, the latter being much longer (568 nucleotides as compared to 164 nucleotides in human). The record is from RNAcentral. Lineage: Eukaryota; Metazoa; Chordata; Lepidosauria; Squamata; Agamidae.